Molecule: long non-coding RNA, 909 nt
Filed under: Manduca sexta (tobacco hornworm)
Lineage: Eukaryota; Metazoa; Arthropoda; Insecta; Lepidoptera; Sphingidae
Description: uncharacterized LOC119189708
Source: RNAcentral
UUUCAAUGGACUAAUAAUGUAAAGUUCAUUUUGCAUUAGCAAUAGAUGUAAGGCAAAAACGGUCUCGAAAGAGAAUCACUUUUUGGUAGCCGUGUCCCUCUCGCACAUGUUGCCAACGUUCAUUACCUUCUAAAUUAAUAAUAUUAAUGGCAGUAUUAGUACAUAAAUAAAAAAUCUAUAUUAGACUACAGUAAUAAAAAAUAAAAUAAAAUAAUAUUGUCUGCUUAAAUCCUUAGAUCCUAUACUUUAUUAUGUUACAAAUUUAAUAAAUGGAAUUAUUAUAGCAGUCGUAUAGUAGAAGUUAUUGUAGUUUACGUUUCGGCAACACCGUGAACUGAAAAAAUGAAUGAAUUCUAUUGAACAAAAUGGCGUUUGUUUACAUUUGUGGUUUGAUGAUAAAGAAGGAUUGAAUAACUUUUAAGCUAGCUUUUUUUAUAUCGUAGAAGUUACUGCGUAAUUAUGGUGAAUACUUGUGUUGUAAGAGGAUGUAAGCAAGAAUCCUAUCCAGGUUGUGGAAAAUCCUUUCAUAGGAUUCCAGUUAAUAAAGAGUGGAGAGAGAGCCUUGUGGGUUGAUGCCAUGAACCUUGACACUAAUGUGACAAAAACUGCAUGUGUUUGUAGCUUACAUUUUACUGAUGAUGCGUAUUUAACAGUAGCUAAGAAUAAGUUAAAGCCACAAGCAGUUCCUUCAGUAUUGCCUAAGAUAGUUCCAGAAAGCAAAAAAUUUACAGUUCAAAAGUUGAAAGGAGGAUCUUUUGUACAUACUUCAUAUUCUAGUCAUAUCACAGUAGUAGGGACUUCUUAUGAACGAAGAGGACCUUCUAGUAAACGGGAUGAUGUAGAAAUUUCUGGUGAACCGCCCAAUAAAAAAAAAAGAAGAAUCAAGCAAUAAAUAUUAUAUAUUGGUUA